RNAcentral lists this ribosomal RNA (500 nucleotides) under uncultured bacterium. RNAcentral's name for it is "partial 16S ribosomal RNA". It matches the Rfam family "Bacterial small subunit ribosomal RNA", at positions 30 to 523 of the family's 1533-position model. The record is from RNAcentral.
AUUGAACGCUGGCGGCAUGCCUUACACAUGCAAGUCGAACGGUAACAGGUCUUCGGACGCUGACGAGUGGCGAACGGGUGAGUAAUACAUCGGAACGUGCCUAGUAGUGGGGGAUAACUACUCGAAAGAGUGGCUAAUACCGCAUGAGAUCUACGGAUGAAAGCAGGGGAUCGCAAGACCUUGUGCUACUAGAGCGGCCGAUGGGAGAGUAGGUAGAGUUGGUGGGAUAAAAGCUUACCAAGCCGACGAUCUGUAGCUGGUCUGAGAGGACGAUCAGCCACACUGGGAAUGAGAAACGGCCCAGACUCCUACGGGAGGCAGCAGUGGGAAAUUUUGGACAAUGGGCGCAAGCCUGAUCCAGCAAUGCCGCGUGCAGGAUGAAGGCCUUCGGGUUGUAAACUGCUUUUGUACGGAACGAAAAGCCCCGGGUUAAUACCCUGGGGUCAUGACGGUACCGUAAGAAUAAGCACCGGCUAACUACGUGCCAGCCGCCGCCGUAA